Molecule: ribosomal RNA, 119 nt
Filed under: Pteropus alecto (black flying fox)
Lineage: Eukaryota; Metazoa; Chordata; Mammalia; Chiroptera; Pteropodidae
Source: RNAcentral
GUCUACGGCCAUGCCACCCUGAACAAACCCGAUCCCAUAUGAUCCCAGAAGCUAAGCAGGGUCAGGCCUGGUUAGUACUUGGAUGGGAGACCACCUAGGAAGACCAAGUGCUGUAGGCG